This 271-nucleotide ribosomal RNA is filed under the name uncultured bacterium. RNAcentral describes it as "partial 16S ribosomal RNA". It matches the Rfam family "Bacterial small subunit ribosomal RNA", at positions 524 to 794 of the family's 1533-position model. The record is from RNAcentral.
UACGGAGGGUGCAAGCGUUACUCGGAAUCACUGGGCGUAAAGAGCGUGUAGGCGGGUAGUUAAGUCAGAAGUGAAAUCCAAUAGCUCAACUAUUGAACUGCUUUUGAAACUGAUUACCUAGAAUAUGGGAGAGGUAGAUGGAAUUUCUGGUGUAGGGGUAAAAUCCGUAGAGAUCAGAAGGAAUACCGAUUGCGAAGGCGAUCUACUGGAACAUUAUUGACGCUGAGACGCGAAAGCGUGGGGAGCAAACAGGAUUAGAUACCCGCGUAGU